RNAcentral lists this ribosomal RNA (490 nucleotides) under uncultured bacterium. RNAcentral's name for it is "partial 16S ribosomal RNA". It matches the Rfam family "Bacterial small subunit ribosomal RNA", at positions 29 to 505 of the family's 1533-position model. The record is from RNAcentral.
AGUGAACGCUGGCGGUAGGCCUAACACAUGCAAGUCGAACGGCAGCACAGUAAGAGCUUGCUCUUACGGGUGGCGAGUGGCGGACGGGUGAGGAAUACAUCGGAAUCUACUUUUUCGUGGGGGAUAACGUAGGGAAACUUACGCUAAUACCGCAUACGACCUACGGGUGAAAGCAGGGGAUCUUCGGACCUUGCGCGAUUGAAUGAGCCGAUGUCGGAUUAGCUAGUUGGCGGGGUAAAGGCCCGCCAAGGCGACGAUCCGUAGCUGGUCUGAGAGGAUGAUCAGCCACACUGGAACUGAGACACGGUCCAGACUCCUACGGGAGGCAGCAGUGGGGAAUAUUGGACAAUGGGCGCAAGCCUGAUCCAGCCAUACCGCGUGGGUGAAGAAGGCCUUCGGGUUGUAAAGCCCUUUUGUUGGGAAAGAAAAGCAGCAGGUUAAUACCCCGCUGUUCUGACGGUACCCAAAGAAUAAGCACCGGCUAACUUCG